This 301-nucleotide ribosomal RNA is filed under the name uncultured bacterium. Its description in RNAcentral is "partial 16S ribosomal RNA". It matches the Rfam family "Bacterial small subunit ribosomal RNA", at positions 509 to 807 of the family's 1533-position model. The record is from RNAcentral.
CAGUAGCCACGGGAAUACGAAGGGGGCUAGCGUUGUUCGGAAUUACUGGGCGUAAAGCGCACGUAGGCGGAUAUUUAAGUCAGGGGUGAAAUCCCAGAGCUCAACUCUGGAACUGCCUUUGAUACUGGGUAUCUUGAGUAUGGAAGAGGUGAGUGGAAUUCCGAGUGUAGAGGUGAAAUUCGUAGAUAUUCGAAGGAACACCAGUGGCGAAGGCGGCUCACUGGUCCAUUACUGACGCUGAGGUGCGAAAGCGUGGGGAGCAAACAGGAUUAGAUACCCCUGUAGUCCCUGUCUCUUAUAC